RNAcentral lists this ribosomal RNA (216 nucleotides) under Glomeromycotina sp. RNAcentral's name for it is "partial small subunit ribosomal RNA". The stretch from base 40 to 216 matches the Rfam family "Eukaryotic small subunit ribosomal RNA", at positions 686 to 864 of the family's 1831-position model. The record is from RNAcentral. Lineage: Eukaryota; Fungi; Glomeromycota.
GGGUCAGUAGGUUGGUCGUGCCACCGGUACGUACUGGUCUCACUGAUUUCUCCUUCCUGAAGAACCGUAAUGCCAUUAAUUUGGUGUUGCGGGGAAACAGGACUGUUACUUUGAAAAAAUUAGAGUGUUUAAAGCAAGCUAACGCUUGAAUACAUUAGCAUGGAAUAAUGAAAUAGGACGAUCGAUCCUAUUUUGUUGGUUCCUAGGAUUGACGUA